AGGACGAACGCUGGCGGCGUGCCUAACACAUGCAAGUCGAGCGAGGAGAUCCCUUCGGGGAUGAACCUAGCGGCGGACGGGUGAGUAACACGUGGGCAACCUGCCUUAUAGAGGGGAAUAGCCUUCCGAAAGGAAGAUUAAUACCGCAUAACAUUACAUUUUCGCAUGAAGAAGUAAUUAAAGGAGUAAUCCGCUAUAAGAUGGGCCCGCGGCGCAUUAGCUAGUUGGUGAGGUAACGGCUCACCAAGGCGACGAUGCGUAGCCGACCUGAGAGGGUGAUCGGCCACAUUGGGACUGAGACACGGCCCAGACUCCUACGGGAGGCAGCAGUGGGGAAUAUUGCACAAUGGGGGAAACCCUGAUGCCAGCAACGCCGCGUGAGUGAUGAAGGUCUUCGGAUCGUAAAGCUCUGUCUUCAGGGACGAUAAUGACGGUACCUGAGGAGGAAGCCACGGCUAACUACGUGCCAGCCGCCGC
Molecule: ribosomal RNA, 477 nt
Filed under: uncultured bacterium
Lineage: Bacteria
Description: bacterial SSU rRNA
Rfam family: Bacterial small subunit ribosomal RNA
Source: RNAcentral